Long non-coding RNA from Carassius carassius (crucian carp), 383 nucleotides. RefSeq lists it as uncharacterized. The transcript is spliced from 3 exons. Lineage: Eukaryota; Metazoa; Chordata; Actinopteri; Cypriniformes; Cyprinidae. The record is from RefSeq and is a predicted model, not a curated record.
CCAUCAAACAGAAUCACGUGUUGGCAAGCACACCGGACAGGUGUGUCUGUGCAAACUAGAUUUGUGGGGCAAAGAUGCAUCGUGCUGUUUGAGCCCUGCACUAUUUAUUCAUAAUAGCAGCAUUAAUAACAGAGCGGUCUGCUUUCUGCUCUAUAUGUCAAUGCCUGGAUUAUCAUAACACGUCCGACAGUGUUUAGUGUGACUGUGACAGGACGAUAACACCGGGACGGGGUCUGAUUCCUAAACGGCCGUCAUGUGAGGCCGCUCUGCCACAGUGAAGAUCACACUGGACACGGUUUAUUCACACUCUCUGUGAUUGUUACACAAGGUCAUGACUCCGCAGUGUGCUGAAUUCAUUUAGAUGAGUGUAGACUGACGGAUUG